Coturnix japonica (Japanese quail) is the source of this 4261-nucleotide long non-coding RNA. RefSeq lists it as uncharacterized. The record is from RefSeq and is a predicted model, not a curated record. NCBI's taxonomy places the organism in Eukaryota, Metazoa, Chordata, Aves, Galliformes, Phasianidae.
UAUGAGUAGUGAUGACCUAAAACUUGAAAAUAGGAAGUUCCAUACUAACAUGUGGAUUAAUUUUACAGUAAUAGUGAUGGAGCACUGGAGCAGGUUGUUCAGAGAGGUUGUGGAGUCUCCUAUUCAGAUAUUCAAGACCCUCGUGGAUGCCUACCUGAGCAACCUAUCGUAAGGACAAGACAUAGAAUAAACGGCACCAUCCUCUAUGCUAAAAUUGAGCUAAUCAAAGACAUCAAUCAACAUCAUUCCAGGGAAGAAACAUUGUGAAAAAAUAUUAUAGUACACUGAGUUCUUGGUUCAUUUUAGUAUUCAACCAUGCACCACUGGCACCAGGGACUAGAAUAUCAUACAGUAUAUGCUAAAGGAUGUUCCACUCCAAGCAACAUUUUCAAAUGGAACGAGAACAUACAGAAUAAGCAGCACCAAAGCUUCGAGGGUUAAAAACAUUUUAUCUGCUCAGGCAAUAAAAGAAGCAGAAAAAGAAAUCCCUCAUUAAAGCCAACGUCCAAAUUCCCAGUGGAGCAGCAGAUACACAAGGUGUGUGUUCCCAUCAGAUGUUGAGAAUGGAAAUAUUUGGAGACAAGCUGAUGGCAAUUAGCAACAAUAACGUGUCUUAACUGCUAUCUUAUUUUGUUAGUCAUGCAGAUCUGGCACAGGAAGUGCCUGAGCUGGAUUAUGCUCUCAUUUGUGACAAACCUGUUAACCCAGGUGCAGCUGCCAGUCCAGAUGUGCCUCUGUGACACCUGUGCAUAUCCACUGUCUAUAUCUCUCUGAGGUAUACAGCAAAAAUAAAAAUGUAAUGGGAAUUGAGGCACCUAAUGGCAAUAAAGUUGCAGAAAUGUAAAUGAGGUAAGAUUUUGCUCUACUAGAAUUUUUGUUGCAUAUAAAAUUGUCUGUGCCAGACCGAGUAAAGAUGGGUUUUCAGGUACUAGCACUGGCAGUAGCUUGAGAGCACUGGCCAAUAGAAAGCUUACAGAGCACUUUAUCUCUGGAAACUCUGUGAGCAGAUGCUCCAAACUCUCACAGUGUUGCUUCCACAGGCAUAAGUUUCAAAUCAUUAUUGCGAUUAUAAACUGCAAGCAUGCACACAGCUGAUUGCACGUGAAAUGCCUUCUGCUGCCCGUCCCUGUGGCAGAACUGUUCAUUUAACUGCUGGGGUCACUCUCCAGGUAUGAAUAUUAUAUUAAAUGAUGGUAAAGGAUUAUACAGAAGACAGAAAGUGCUGAGUUACUGAAGAAUAUGUUAUGCCUUGAGGAAAAGUGUGAAGAAAAAUGAUACCAAAAAUAUCACAUAGAAAUUCUCACUUAUACAACAAGAACUACCUUAAGCUCUCUUGUUGUCCUUUCUGAAGACUAAAAGGUGCUCUGACCUUGUCUUCAAAGGUAAGCCCCAGAAUAUCUCAUGGUAAACUAUAACUCUUCCUUCUCUCCUUAACUUUAUGCCUGGUUAAAAGCCAGUUAAGGACAAAACAACAAACAUGAAAGUUGCCACUCACCUGGCUUAGCACCUCACUGCAAUAUAACAUGGGUGCAGAAUCAAAAAAGUAUUAAGUUGAAUUCUAUCACAUAGCUACAGAGUGAAAGAGACGAAGGAGAGGAGAUGUGUUUAAAAAAAAAAAAACAACAAAUGGAGAAGGUAAAGCAAGAGCCAAGCCACCGUUUUUUGGCAGCAGCUCCGCACAUUUUCUUUCCUGAAGGAACAGGAAAAAAGAAAUUAUUAUUUAUUUUUUUUUUCCAUUUGAAACUGAAAGGUAACCUAAUUAUAUGAGUGGAUUUUAGUUCUGACAGCAAGGUUAAUGAUCCAGAACUUGGAAGUACACCAGGACACAUUAGUGACCAUAAGCAGUCAUAAACUUGGCUUCACAUUUAAGUGAAAGAAACCUUGCAGUACAGCAUCGCGUCAUCCUGGUGAAACACUGCCUAUGUGCUGAGCUGGGAAAAAUAAAACCUUUGCAUUCAUUAACAUUCUUUCCUGUGAUAGCUAAGUAAUAUUUAGAGAUCAAUCAUUUCAAAGCCAAUCCCAACCUGAGCACCAACACUGUAUUUUUAUUACCAUUUUAUUUUUGGUUUUGUUCUUAACACCAUGGAAUAUGGCAGUCAUGAUGAAGGACCCUGCUUCAAGGCCUCAAGGAGUGUUAACUCAAAAAUAUUUAAACUUAUAGGUUCGGAGAGGUGAAGGUGAGUUUCUGCUUUUAAAAUGAGCACUGUAGCAUUAGAUGAAACUUGUGGAAUGGGAAAAAGUCACUGAUAUUUCUUUUAUUUUGAAAGAAUUAAAGUCAACCAUUCAGAAAGAAGUAAGUGACAGCAGAGGAAGUGUGUGCUGCCAUCUCAGCCCUAGGUGAUACAGCUACCAACAAAUAAAGUGCAGAUAGCUGAAAAAUGCCAAAGGAAAAAGAGGUAGGUCUAAAGCAAGGAGAUAAUAAACAGUAAGCUGACAGAGCAGAAACUUCCAAGGGAAAUAAAUUGGUCAAACACGGGAAUUAAAACUGCAAAAUUCAAAAGAAUGCAGUUAAACACAGCUUUCAAAGAGUCUAGCUUGACAGAACCUGAGGAGAAAAAGAUUAUUUCAAUGAGAAGUGCUGAUGACCUCUGAUGUUACUUGAGGGGUACCAGAAGGAGCCUUGGCAGGUGGAAGUUGGGAGUUCUGAACAUGUCCCACAAUGACAAGAAAAGGGGUGGGUGAGACAAAAGACUAGUGUAACACUCAUUGAAAAUGCGAACCCAGAUCACCAUGGUUCAGAUAAAGAGAGAGAUUAGAAGCUCAAGAUAAACAGGAAGUGAUUUCAUUAAAUAAGCUUUCUGUCUGUAAGUAGGAUAUUGCUCGGGCAAACAGUGCACAGUCAAUUUUUUUCCAGGAACAAAUAUAUUCAAUAUUUAUCUCUGUUUAUAUUCACAGUAUAUAUACUUUUUAAAUAUAUGUCAUAAUAAUAGCUCCUAACUGUUCUUUCUCACUGGAUUUAAACUUUUGUAAGUGCACAGGCUUCUACAGUGGAUCUCUCAAUUUUCAGUGGGGUAUGUGGGAGCAUCUUGUACCAGCAGACUGAAGAUGCUACUGCAGGCAGCUCAAGAAUCAUAGAAUCAUAGAAUGGCUUGAGUUGGAAGGGACCUCAAGGAUCAUCAAGCACCAGCCCCUCUGCCUGUAGCAGAAAACAACAUUUUCUGAGCAAUAGGAAACACAGCCAUCAGGCAUCCCCAACAGAAACCCUGAAUGCUCCACUCUGGCUCCCUGCAAAGCUUUUAAUUGAAUUGAAGCCAGAACAUUUGCUUUCCAGGUUAUUGGUCCAACUCCCAUUGAUGCAGGCUUGUGGUAGCCACGGGCUCUGUCUUUCUUAUUGUCUCUUCUUUAUCUCAUUAGCUGUUUGUUUCUUGAGUUUUCAUUUCAAACUCCCACAUGAGUACCACUGCAGACAGCUCUGUUGCAACCACAGGGCGGGAGCACCAGGAAGUGCUCCAGCUGCCCUAUGGGUGCAAGCUGUGUGGCUCUGGGAAGGGGCAGUUUAGAUACUGCUUGCUCUCCUCAGCUGCUCCAGCUGCCCUGAGCUCCAUUUCCCUGUUCUCUGUUCUCUGCGUAGUGGCUAAGCACUAUGAUUGCCUGUCAAUAUCAAAGCAUGAAGUUAGAGGUUGUAUUUGCAGCAGGAGUAUUUUUCCCAGUUCAUGUCAAAAUCAAUGUGUCCUGACGAGCCAGUCAUGUACUCUGUGCCUCAAAACCUCCUUGACUUCAGUGGGAAAUUUGCUUGAAUAAGGCUCUCUAUAUAAACUUCAAGGCAGUGAAGUUGCAGAAAAUUGUCUGAUUUAUUUUGGCGACAUCCCCAGAUGGUAAAAUUAUAAUUAUUUCUGUGAUUAUAUCAGGUAUAUUUUUACAGCUUACAAGCUGGAUAAGUUGGAUGGGCAAAAACCUGUGAUGUUUUCUGUAUUUCUCUCAAUACAUCUUGUCCUACUACAAUAAUAGUUGCCCUUCUCUGCCUUUGAAAUAAACUGAAUAUUUAAAUGAAAGAAUUUUAGCCUUGUUUCAACUGAGCUCCAGUUAAUUCAUCUUCUUCCAUUCCGUAUCUGUCCUUGGAAAUGAGAAAACCCAUACACAACACUAUCUGCUCUCACAGACAUGGGAAGCUAUGGAAGAACAGGACUAAGAAGGGAGAGUUACAAAAAAGAUAUUUCACUGCUUCCGAAAUGAGGAUCAUGUGUUCACAUUCAAAGACAAGGAAAUCAAGCGGAUAUCUGGCAACACAAUGUAGAAAAUACUCAAGCUGUAUUAAAUAAAG